UGAUGCUGAUGGAACUGAUAUACAUACCA
This 29-nucleotide non-coding RNA is filed under the name Homo sapiens (human). The record is from RNAcentral. Lineage: Eukaryota; Metazoa; Chordata; Mammalia; Primates; Hominidae.